This 393-nucleotide ribosomal RNA is filed under the name uncultured bacterium. RNAcentral's name for it is "partial 16S ribosomal RNA". It matches the Rfam family "Bacterial small subunit ribosomal RNA", at positions 523 to 918 of the family's 1533-position model. The record is from RNAcentral.
AUACGGAGGAUGCGAGCGUUAUCCGGAUUUAUUGGGUUUAAAGGGUGCGUAGGCUGUGCGUUAAGUCAGGGGUGAAAUGCCGUCGCUCAACGACGGAGCUGCCCUUGAUACUGGCGUGCUGGAGUACGGAUGCCGUUGGAGGAAUGAGUGGUGUAGCGGUGAAAUGCUUAGAUAUCACUCAGAACACCGAUUGCGAAGGCAUCUGACGAAUCCGUCACUGACGCUGAGGCACGAAAGCGUGGGGAUAGAACAGGAUUAGAUACCCUGGUAUUCCACGCCGUAAACGAUGAUGACUAACCGUCGGCGAUAGACAGCCGGUGGCCAAGCGAAAGCGAUAAGUCAUCCACCUGGGGAGUACGGCGGCAACGAUGAAACUCAAAGGAAUUGACGGGG